Molecule: ribosomal RNA, 599 nt
Filed under: Lucanus ogakii ogakii
Lineage: Eukaryota; Metazoa; Arthropoda; Insecta; Coleoptera; Lucanidae
Description: partial 16S ribosomal RNA
Rfam family: Archaeal large subunit ribosomal RNA
Source: RNAcentral
UUAAGGAAUUCGGCAAAUUUCUUUUCGCCUGUUUAAUAAAAACAUGGCUUUUUGGUAAUAAUUUAAGGUCAGGCCUGCCCAAUGAUAAUUUAAAUGGCUGCGGUAUAUUGACCGUGCAAAGGUAGCAUAAUCAUUAGUUUUUUUAUUGGAAGCUGGAAUGAAGGGUUUGACGAGAAAGAAGCUGUCUUAAUUUAAUUAUUUGAAUUUUAUUUUUGAGUGAGAAAGCUUAAAUAGUUUUGAGGGACGAGAAGACCCUAUAGAAUUUAAUAGUUUAUAUAUUUUAAAAUUUUGGUUUAUGUUAAUUGAUGUAAAUUUAAAUUAAUUUGUUGGGGUGAUAAAAAAAUUUAAAUAACUUUUUUUUGUAUUUUUCAUUAAUAAAUGAUUAUAUGAUCCAUUAGUAGUGAUUAUAAGAAAAAAUUACCUUAGGGAUAACAGCGUUAUUAAUCUGGAGAGUUCAAAUCGAUAGAUUAGAUUGCGACCUCGAUGUUGGAUUAAAAUUGGCUUUUGGUGAAGGGACUAAUAAGCUAAGUCUGUUCGACUUUUAAAAUUUUACAUGAUCUGAGUUUAAACCGGCGUGAGCCAGGUUGGUUUCUAUCUUU